GAUUUCAUAGUGUAGCGGUUAGCACGUCUGCUUUACGCGCAGAAGGUCCUGGGUUCGUGCCCCAGUGGAGCCA
RNAcentral lists this transfer RNA (73 nucleotides) under Pteropus alecto (black flying fox). It matches the Rfam family "tRNA". Rfam says of the family: Transfer RNA (tRNA) molecules are approximately 80 nucleotides in length. Their secondary structure includes four short double-helical elements and three loops (D, anti-codon, and T loops). Further hydrogen bonds mediate the characteristic L-shaped molecular structure. tRNAs have two regions of fundamental functional importance: the anti-codon, which is responsible for specific mRNA codon recognition, and the 3' end, to which the tRNAs corresponding amino acid is attached (by aminoacyl-tRNA synthetases). tRNAs cope with the degeneracy of the genetic code in two manners: having more than one tRNA (with a specific anti-codon) for a particular amino acid; and 'wobble' base-pairing, i.e. permitting non-standard base-pairing at the 3rd anti-codon position. Lineage: Eukaryota; Metazoa; Chordata; Mammalia; Chiroptera; Pteropodidae. The record is from Rfam by way of RNAcentral.